Molecule: ribosomal RNA, 1017 nt
Filed under: uncultured bacterium
Lineage: Bacteria
Description: bacterial SSU rRNA
Rfam family: Bacterial small subunit ribosomal RNA
Source: RNAcentral
UGAGGAAUAUUGGUCAAUGGGCGAGAGCCUGAACCAGCCAAGUAGCGUGAAGGAUGACUGCCCUAUGGGUUGUAAACUUCUUUUAUAAAGGAAUAAAGUCGGGUAUGGAUACCCGUUUGCAUGUACUUUAUGAAUAAGGAUCGGCUAACUCCGUGCCAGCAGCCGCGGUAAUACGGAGGAUCCGAGCGUUAUCCGGAUUUAUUGGGUUUAAAGGGAGCGUGGAUGGAUAUUUAAGUCAGUUGUGAAAGUUUGCGGCUCAACCGUAAAAUUGCAGUUGAUACUGGAUAUCUUGAGUGCAGUUGAGGCAGGCGGAAUUCGUGGUGUAGCGGUGAAAUGCUUAGAUAUCACGAAGAACUCCGAUUGCGAAGGCAGCCUGCUAAGCUGCAACUGACAUUGAGGCUCGAAAGUGUGGGUAUCAAACAGGAUUAGAUACCCUGGUAGUCCACACGGUAAACGAUGAAUACUCGCUGUUUGCGAUAUACUGCAAGCGGCCAAGCGAAAGCGUUAAGUAUUCCACCUGGGGAGUACGCCGGCAACGGUGAAACUCAAAGGAAUUGACGGGGGCCCGCACAAGCGGAGGAACAUGUGGUUUAAUUCGAUGAUACGCGAGGAACCUUACCCGGGCUUAAAUUGCAGAUGAAUUACGGUGAAAGCCGUAAGCCGCAAGGCAUCUGUGAAGGUGCUGCAUGGUUGUCGUCAGCUCGUGCCGUGAGGUGUCGGCUUAAGUGCCAUAACGAGCGCAACCCUUGUUGUCAGUUACUAACAGGUUCCGCUGAGGACUCUGACAAGACUGCCAUCGUAAGAUGUGAGGAAGGUGGGGAUGACGUCAAAUCAGCACGGCCCUUACGUCCGGGGCUACACACGUGUUACAAUGGGGGGUACAGAGGGCCGCUACCACGCGAGUGGAUGCCAAUCCCCAAAACCUCUCUCAGUUCGGACUGGAGUCUGCAACCCGACUCCACGAAGCUGGAUUCGCUAGUAAUCGCGCAUCAGCCACGGCGCGGUGAAUACGUUCCC